Gorilla gorilla gorilla (western lowland gorilla) is the source of this 597-nucleotide long non-coding RNA. RefSeq lists it as uncharacterized. NCBI's taxonomy places the organism in Eukaryota, Metazoa, Chordata, Mammalia, Primates, Hominidae. The transcript is spliced from 3 exons. The record is from RefSeq and is a predicted model, not a curated record.
GCGUUUGUCCAUUCACCAAUCGAUGGGCACCUAUCAGCUGAGUGAUGCUGCUGUGCCUUUGUGUGAGCGUGUGGUUGUUGUUUUCAGUUCUCUUGGCCUGGGCCUAGGAGAGGAAGAGCUGGGUGUCAUUUAGCACAGCCGUCUUGGUGAACGCGAAGCAGUACCUCACUGUGGUGUUUCCUGACAUUUCCCUGAUGUCUAACAACGUCAAAGACGUUUCCACAUGUGGAUUAGCAGUUUGUCAUUGAUUCAUCUAAGUUAAUUUCUGCAUCUGGUGUGAGGUGGAACAUAAAUCCAUGCUUUUGCACAUGACUAUGCAGUUGACCCCCCACCGUUUGUCAAAUAGACUUUCUCUCCCACUGAAUGUGCAUCGCCCUUGCUGAAAAUCAGCUGACUACAAGUGUGAAGAUGGUUUUGACAAUGCUGCGUUCCUUGAAUUUCCAACAGUGGGAUCACACUUCACAAUGAGAUUUGGAGGAGACACACACCCACAACAUAGCUUAGGAGAAGGGGCUGCAAGCCACGGACACAGGCAGAAGCUGGGCUCGGAGCUGGAGCUGGAAAAGGCGAGGACAGGGGUUCUCCCUGGAGCCCCAG